Long non-coding RNA from Sebastes umbrosus (honeycomb rockfish), 764 nucleotides. RefSeq lists it as uncharacterized. Lineage: Eukaryota; Metazoa; Chordata; Actinopteri; Perciformes; Sebastidae. The transcript is spliced from 3 exons. The record is from RefSeq and is a predicted model, not a curated record.
CACCCGCACUCAGCAGGUCGCGUGCAGGACUGAGGCCCCACCAGGUGAUGCAGCCGACGCCCUCUGACGCCCGUCCAGCACUCAUCCUGUAACAAUGACCCAAAGAAAGACAAAGGAAGACAAAGGAAGAAGAGGUACACCUGACUGACCUACCUGAGCAUCUGUGAAGUUGUAGUCCAACGAGAACUCCAGCCUGCCCAAUUUUUCCUGCUCUUUCUCCUCUUCCUCUCCUUCUUUCUUCACCUCGCCCUCCUGCCAGAUAAAAACAUCAGUGCGUUGGAUAUUCAUCAUGAAGAUCUAGAUCAGCACUUCUUGAAAAGACAGAAGAUGCAGCACGCCACCAAAACCAGGACCACCACAACGAUGGCUGCGACCGCCCACACGGGCACUGCAAAAUGAAAAGGUGAAUUCACUCAUCAGUAUUCGCUGUAUGUAUGCUUAUUAUGGCAGAAAGGAGUGGAUGUCUGAUCCCCAUUUCAUUCACAAUAGUAACAUGAUGUGGAGAAAUCCUGACCCCCAAACAACAACAACAAAAAACAUGUAUUUAAAUCUAAUCUUCAAGUAGACUUCUUAACUUUUAAACACUACCCUCUCCAUCGAAGGCUUUGUAAAAGUCUUAUGCGUCAGGAUUUUCAAGAGGAUUUAAAUCUUUCACAUCUUGAGAUUACAUCCACUUUCAUAAAUCAGUUUACUCCUACAAUCUAAAACAGUUCCAACAAUAUUGUUGAACAUAAACUCAUUUUCCAAAGCUUGGAAAACAGAAC